UGACGGUGCCUCCGACGCCGAGAUCCGGUGCCAAGAGCCCUGGUUCUUGCUCUCCGCGGUGCUCGACGCCGGAUCGCGGCGAGAUCUCGCUGUGCGAGAGCAACGCGUCCUGUUGUGACGUUGCGGAGUUGCGGCCUGAUGAUCCCGCUGUUGGUGAGGAUUCAGAGGGUUCAGUUUACUUUUCGUCACUGAGAAAAGAAAGGGGAGUGGCGACGCCUUCCAGCCAGCAAAAGGACCAUUCUUACGAUCUAGAAUCGACGGCAGAGCU
Molecule: long non-coding RNA, 268 nt
Organism: Asparagus officinalis (garden asparagus)
Lineage: Eukaryota; Viridiplantae; Streptophyta; Magnoliopsida; Asparagales; Asparagaceae
Exons: 3
Source: RefSeq, a predicted model, not a curated record